RNAcentral lists this ribosomal RNA (492 nucleotides) under uncultured bacterium. RNAcentral's name for it is "partial 16S ribosomal RNA". It matches the Rfam family "Bacterial small subunit ribosomal RNA", at positions 29 to 507 of the family's 1533-position model. The record is from RNAcentral.
AGUGAACGCUGGCAGUAGGCCUAACACAUGCAAGUCGAACGGCAGCACAGUAAGAGCUUGCUCUUACGGGUGGCGAGUGGCGGACGGGUGAGGAAUACAUCGGAAUCUACUUUUUCGUGGGGGAUAACGUAGGGAAACUUACGCUAAUACCGCAUACGACCUACGGGUGAAAGCAGGGGAUCUUCGGACCUUGCGCGAUUGAAUGAGCCGAUGUCGGAUUAGCUAGUUGGCGGGGUAAAGGCCCACCAAGGCGACGAUCCGUAGCUGGUCUGAGAGGAUGAUCAGCCACACUGGAACUGAGACACGGUCCAGACUCCUACGGGAGGCAGCAGUGGGGAAUAUUGGACAAUGGGCGCAAGCCUGAUCCAGCCAUACCGCGUGGGUGAAGAAGGCCUUCGGGUUGUAAAGCCCUUUUGUUGGGAAAGAAAAGCAGCAGGUUAAUACCCCGCUGUUCUGACGGUACCCAAAGAGUAAGCACCGGCUAACUUCGUG